RNAcentral lists this microRNA precursor (171 nucleotides) under Triticum aestivum (bread wheat). RNAcentral's name for it is "MIR2118 microRNA precursor family". It matches the Rfam family "MIR2118 microRNA precursor family". Lineage: Eukaryota; Viridiplantae; Streptophyta; Magnoliopsida; Poales; Poaceae. The record is from Rfam by way of RNAcentral.
UCUAGGAAGAGGAAGAAAGAGAGGGCCUAGGAGCAAUGGGAAUGAGAACAUCGAGAAAAAUUGAACUUAUCGGUUCUUCACCUCUUGUGUUGAGGUGGAAAUUCCGUUUGGUAUUUCCCACCGCCUCACAUUCAUGUCGUUCUUAAACGCUCCUUCCCCUCCCUUUUUGUU